Molecule: ribosomal RNA, 566 nt
Filed under: Kurthia gibsonii
Lineage: Bacteria; Bacillati; Bacillota; Bacilli; Caryophanales; Caryophanaceae
Description: bacterial SSU rRNA
Rfam family: Bacterial small subunit ribosomal RNA
Source: RNAcentral
CUUCCCCAAUGGACGAAAGUCUGAUGGAGCAACGCCGCGUGAGUGAUGAAGGUUUUCGGAUCGUAAAACUCUGUUGUAAGGGAAGAACAAGUACGUUAGGAAAUGAACGUACCUUGACGGUACCUUAUUAGAAAGCCACGGCUAACUACGUGCCAGCAGCCGCGGUAAUACGUAGGUGGCAAGCGUUGUCCGGAUUUAUUGGGCGUAAAGCGCGCGCAGGUGGUUUCUUAAGUCUGAUGUGAAAGCCCACGGCUCAACCGUGGAGGGUCAUUGGAAACUGGGGAACUUGAGUGCAGAAGAGGAUAGUGGAAUUCCAAGUGUAGCGGUGAAAUGCGUAGAGAUUUGGAGGAACACCAGUGGCGAAGGCGACUGUCUGGUCUGUAACUGACACUGAGGCGCGAAAGCGUGGGGAGCAAACAGGAUUAGAUACCCUGGUAGUCCACGCCGUAAACGAUGAGUGCUAAGUGUUAGGGGGUUUCCGCCCCUUAGUGCUGCAAGCUAACGCAUUAAGCACUCCGCCCGGGGAGUACCACCGCAAGGUUGAAACUCNNAGNAAAUUUGACGGG